AUGAUUGCGAAUGGUUGCCUUCGGUGCUGGCUCUUGCAAGUGCACGUUGGUGGCUUUCAUCCAAUACCCCUGUGAACCUUUGGCCUCUUGCUAGCUUCGGCUGGCAGAGGAUUUUUACACACUCGAAUGUAAUGAAAACUAUUGUCGUGCGCAAGCACUAAUGUA
This 165-nucleotide unclassified non-coding RNA is filed under the name uncultured Sebacina. RNAcentral describes it as "sequence contains ITS1". The record is from RNAcentral. Lineage: Eukaryota; Fungi; Basidiomycota; Agaricomycetes; Sebacinales; Sebacinaceae.